Molecule: ribosomal RNA, 373 nt
Filed under: uncultured bacterium
Lineage: Bacteria
Description: bacterial SSU rRNA
Rfam family: Bacterial small subunit ribosomal RNA
Source: RNAcentral
GAUGAACGCUGGCGGCGUGCCUAAUACAUGCAAGUCGAACGAGGUCUUCGGACCGAGUGGCGAACGGGUGAGUAACACGUUGGUACCUACCCCGAAGUGGGGAAUAACUGGCCGAAAGGUCGGCUAAUACCGCAUAAUACCGCAAGGUUAAAGCAGUAAUGCGCUUCGGGAGGGGCCUGCGUCCCAUUAGCUAGUUGGUGAGGUAAUUGCUCACCAAGGCAACGAUGGGUAGCUGGAUCGAGAGGUUGACCAGCCACACUGGGACUGAGAUACGGCCCAGACUCCUACGGGAGGCAGCAGUAAGGAAUCUUCCACAAUGGACGAAAGUCUGAUGGAGCAACGCCGCGUGCAGGAUGACGGCCUUGGUUGUAAC